GCGGGGAUAGCUCAGUUGGGAGAGCGUCAGACUGAACAUCUGAAGGUCGUGUUCGAUCCACGCUCACCGCA
Molecule: transfer RNA, 71 nt
Filed under: Zingiber officinale
Lineage: Eukaryota; Viridiplantae; Streptophyta; Magnoliopsida; Zingiberales; Zingiberaceae
Rfam family: tRNA
About the family: Transfer RNA (tRNA) molecules are approximately 80 nucleotides in length. Their secondary structure includes four short double-helical elements and three loops (D, anti-codon, and T loops). Further hydrogen bonds mediate the characteristic L-shaped molecular structure. tRNAs have two regions of fundamental functional importance: the anti-codon, which is responsible for specific mRNA codon recognition, and the 3' end, to which the tRNAs corresponding amino acid is attached (by aminoacyl-tRNA synthetases). tRNAs cope with the degeneracy of the genetic code in two manners: having more than one tRNA (with a specific anti-codon) for a particular amino acid; and 'wobble' base-pairing, i.e. permitting non-standard base-pairing at the 3rd anti-codon position.
Source: Rfam by way of RNAcentral